This 1049-nucleotide long non-coding RNA is filed under the name Physcomitrium patens. RNAcentral's name for it is "long non-coding RNA (PPAT_LNC002993)". The record is from RNAcentral. Lineage: Eukaryota; Viridiplantae; Streptophyta; Bryopsida; Funariales; Funariaceae.
CUCCAUAUUUCUCUUUUUCCAAUAACAAAUAGUAUUCUCGGAUGGUAUCCACAGUGACACUCUCUCAUUCACUUCUCAAUUUGUACUUAAACUUUCACUCUGACACCUUCCAAUAAAGUCCUUCCUACAUUCACUCCUAAGCAAACUUGCACACCAAUCUCCAUGAUGAAUAACAAUACAAAUUGGAAAAUGUAUUAAAAUAGUGCAACCAUGUCAAACAAAUCCUCCUUUGUGGCCAUCAACUUCAAAUUUUGAGAUUUAGCUUCCAUCUCAGUGAGCAAGAUACAUCUUAAUCCUAUCAAUUUACACUUGAAGGACUGGGAUUCUCCGCAGCAUUCUCCAAACUGCUUCCGAGGGGCCGUUCUCCUGAUAUUCUACACUCCAACAGUGCAACAAAUUAGGGUUUGGAACAAUGAACCUUGACUGCUAGACCGAAGCAUUUUGCCCUAAUUUCAACAGCUUGGCGCACAGGAAAAAGUGAAGAAAUCCAUGCUUCCAUUUGUGGGAAGAAUUUGAGGCGCAAUGGCCACCUCGUCAGAAACUCUACUUCGCACCAUCAGGCAGUUUUUUGGAGUCUGACAACCUUCGGAAAGGCAUAUGACGGCGGAAAUAUUCACGCGUCUGGAUUGGAUAGGGUUCUGAAAUCGAUUGCCUGCUGCCACGAGAGAGGUGAACAGUAUGUGACAACAAAGCUAGGACUUUAGGACAAACUACUAUCUGGCUGCAAUUUUUCAAAAGCUGAAAAAGGCAGCUAUCUUACUUGGAAACAGACCGAACAGUGGAUUGCAUGAGGUUUGUAAAUAUUACCUAUUUCUUUUUGCAAACAUGAUUGAAGAAAUAGAGCAUGCUUUACGAGGUAUGGAGAUAGAAUGCAACCAUCGAACAUUAGCAAUGGAAGUCUAACAUUAUGAUUUAGACCAAAAGGAACGUUGUGCACAGACGGAGGGUAGUGGUCCUGAUUCAAUGAAUUGAUAAAUGUUGAGUUGGUGUAAGAAUAGUUACUAAAUUUGAGAACAGAUCGAAUGUGAUAAACUUGGCUUGAAAUAAAC